GAUGAAGAACGUAGCGAAAUGCGAUAAGUAAUGUGAAUUGCAGAAUUCAGUGAAUCAUCGAAUCUUUGAACGCACCUUGCACCCUUUGGCAUUCCGAAGGGUAUGCUCGUUUGAGUGUCAUUGUACUCUCACUCUCCCGAUCUUUGGAUCGGGAGUGGUGGACUUGGGUGUUGCUGCUUUACCGUGGCUCACCUCAAAUGGAUUCAUGCAACUCCUGGUUGGACAUAGUACGGCGUGAUAAGUGUCUUCGCCGGCACCUCACUAGAGGGUGGCUGACCGGGAGCUCUGUGCUUCAAACCGUCUUCGGACAACAACUGACAACUUGACCUCAAAUCGAGUAGGACCACCCGCUGAACUUAAGCAUAUCAAUAAGCGGAGGA
RNAcentral lists this unclassified non-coding RNA (380 nucleotides) under soil metagenome. Its description in RNAcentral is "partial contains 5.8S ribosomal RNA, internal transcribed spacer 2, and large subunit ribosomal RNA". The stretch from base 1 to 120 matches the Rfam family "5.8S ribosomal RNA", at positions 35 to 154 of the family's 154-position model. The record is from RNAcentral.